Molecule: ribosomal RNA, 490 nt
Filed under: uncultured bacterium
Lineage: Bacteria
Description: bacterial SSU rRNA
Rfam family: Bacterial small subunit ribosomal RNA
Source: RNAcentral
AAUUCGCCCUUAGAGUUUGAUCCUGGCUCAGAUUGAACGCUGGCGGCAUGCCUUACACAUGCAAGUCGAACGGCAGCAUGAUCUAGCUUGCUAGAUUGAUGGCGAGUGGCGAACGGGUGAGUAAUACAUCGGAACGUGCCCUGUAGUGGGGGAUAACUAGUCGAAAGAUUAGCUAAUACCGCAUACGACCUGAGGGUGAAAGUGGGGGACCGCAAGGCCUCAUGCUAUAGGAGCGGCCGAUGUCUGAUUAGCUAGUUGGUGAGGUAAAGGCUCACCAAGGCGACGAUCAGUAGCUGGUCUGAGAGGACGAUCAGCCACACUGGGACUGAGACACGGCCCAGACUCCUACGGGAGGCAGCAGUGGGGAAUUUUGGACAAUGGGCGAAAGCCUGAUCCAGCAAUGCCGCGUGUGUGAAGAAGGCCUUCGGGUUGUAAAGCACUUUUGUCCGGAAAGAAAUGGCUCUGGUUAAUACCUGGGGUCGAUGACGGU